UAGACGCACGCACGCACGCACACGCAGCGGAGCACACCUCGAAUGCGGAUUCACACAUGAUCGCCACAGCCCUGCCUCUGCGAAGCGCCGAAGAAGAAUGUUCUCCCCGCGCGACUCGGCUGCAUCUUGUCCCACCUGAGCCUCACACUUCUCUUGUGGUUGAGUGACCUCACUGACAUUUGCACAAUUUUACAGGGUACAGUGCUGCAGGAAGCUGGAAUGGUGCACUAGCAGAUCUGGAAAGUUGACAAUACCCUGUGCGCAUGGCGGAAUCUGAAUCUUCUCGGGCUUGUUCGAUGAAAUCCUCUGAUUCCGAAGGUGCCGAAGCUUUUGGACCUUUAUAACAUGGUACCAGUCGAUGGGCUGGACCAUAGACAGGCCAACUGUGGAUGCAUUGGAGUUUUCUAGUAAAGUGGAUCGACGUGGGAGGGAAUGGAUAUGCCAAGUUUGGGCUCUGUCGUGAGAGCGAAAGCUAAAUGUCGAAGGGAUGUCAGUUCUAGCGUGUAUGGUGGAGGGUUGGGAGGGUUUUGGGCAUGGAAGAGAAAAGGGGGCAGUGCCGUUGGAUCGAAGGAGGGAAGAUAAGUGGCCCUUGGAUAGGGUUGAGGACUCCGCGCAACGGAGAGAUAUACUCGGGAUAUACAAUACGUGGCGCUCUUCACAGUUUGGCAAGUUCCCCAGGAAAGAAGCAAGAGAUCACCCGCGAAACAUCUCCCACUUGGGUUCGCUGAGCUACGAUCACCUAUUCUGAUUGCCGAGAGACCAUUGUUCUGUUCAUCGUGAGAUGGGUUAUGCAGCUGCUUCCAAGAAGCUGCCGUGUGCAUGGCAAUAUUGAGCACCCUGAGCUGUGUGUCGGUUGUCAACCAAUGAGGUCUGCCGAGGAGGUCUUUGUUCGAGGAAAAGUCAACUUGGGAAGAGCGCAAGAUCUAGGACAUCACCUAUUUUACUCAUCCUUCUUGACUCGCGUCGAAGUUUUCAGCCGUGGUGGAGUAGGUAUCCAGCAGUUACCUGGUACUCGAUGAACAGAAAAUUGAAAUGGCUCCUCCCACCAGAACAUCUAAUAAAUCCCAACCCCUUAACCUCUCGUAGUGCUCAAAAACGAUUUUGUGUUUUCUUUUUAUAAAAUAAAAAAUUGAAACCCUUAACCCUGCAAUUUAAGGACUCCCAUCAAUCGGUUGCCCAUAAAUGAGCUUCUCACAAAAUCUGAGGCAGCUACCCGACAUAUAUGUGUUUAAUAGACACGACUGACGGACGGAUGAAGUAAAAAGGUCAGAUUGCGAGCUCGGUACCUGUUCAGCGAAAUAGGAAGUUUUCGGUACUAGCCACAGCAAAAUGGUUGUUCUUAUUCCAGGAACAUUAAUCAAUAAAAUUCACCGAGAAAAAAGGAUUCUCGAUGAUUGGGAUUCA
This is a non-coding RNA of Physcomitrium patens, 1404 nucleotides long. The record is from RefSeq and is a predicted model, not a curated record. Lineage: Eukaryota; Viridiplantae; Streptophyta; Bryopsida; Funariales; Funariaceae.